AUACAGCAAGAGCAGAUGGUGAGAGUUUUCAAAGGCAUUUGAAACUUAGGCUGAACUAAUGUCCUCGGGAGUUUGGUUCAGAGUGGAAACUUUUUUUCUACUUGGGAAUUAUUUCAGCAUUCAGUCGGAUCAGUGGAACUCACAGCAUAGAUGAAUGCUACAACAUUUUUGCUACUUUACUGGAUUUUCCUGUCUCUCCUGGUCUUCUGUUCAGCUGCUUCUGGAGAACAGAAAAACAUCACAGCUGAGUCUGGACAGGACGUCAUUCUGACAUGUCGAGCUGCAAACAACAACAACAUAUUUGUGGAGUGGAGAAGAGUUGACCUGGAUGAGUAUGUCCUUUUGUACGGAGAUGACGGGUCUGUACUUGAAGACCAGCAUCCAUCUUUUAAGAACCGGGUGGACCUGCAGGAUAGACAGAUGAAGGAUGGAGACGUGUCUUUGAUUCUGAAGAAUGUGAUGACUGCUGACAGUGGAACAUAUGAGUGUCGUGUCAUCCAGAGAGGACACAGUCACAAGAAGACUGUCAUUAAGAACAAGCCUAUCUGUAUCAUGGACCUGAGUGUUGAUCCUCCAGGUCAAUCAAGAAGAAAUGAAGAAGAUGGAUCUAUUGGAUGGAAAGUUGCUCUGUCAAUUUUCUGUCUACUUCUUGUUGCUGCUGUUGCUGUUUUUAUGUACAGAAAAUGUUAACAACAACAGAGUCGGGAUUCAGAGCAAGCUCCUGUUUAAAGAAAUGAUGU
Molecule: long non-coding RNA, 740 nt
Organism: Astatotilapia calliptera (eastern happy)
Lineage: Eukaryota; Metazoa; Chordata; Actinopteri; Cichliformes; Cichlidae
Source: Ensembl